RNAcentral lists this ribosomal RNA (429 nucleotides) under bacterium. RNAcentral describes it as "partial 16S ribosomal RNA". It matches the Rfam family "Bacterial small subunit ribosomal RNA", at positions 355 to 776 of the family's 1533-position model. The record is from RNAcentral.
UAGGGAAUCUUCGGCAAUGGGGGCAACCCUGACCGAGCAACGCCGCGUGAGUGAAGAAGGUUUUCGGAUCGUAAAGCUCUGUUGUAAGAGAAGAACGUGUGUGAGAGUGGAAAGUUCACACAGUGACGGUAACUUACCAGAAAGGGACGGCUAACUACGUGCCAGCAGCCGCGGUAAUACGUAGGUCCCGAGAGUUGUCCGGAUUUAUUGGGCGUAAAGCGAGCGCAGGCGGUUUAAUAAGUCUGAAGUUAAAGGCAGUGGCUUAACCAUUGUUCGCUUUGGAAACUGUUAAACUUGAGUGCAGAAGGGGAGAGUGGAAUUCCAUGUGUAGCGGUGAAAUGCGUAGAUAUAUGGAGGAACACCGGUGGCGAAAGCGGCUCUCUGGUCUGUAACUGACGCUGAGGCUCGAAAGCGUGGGGAGCAAACAGG